CUUUCAAUUUGUGUUAGCUCCCCGAUUGAUCUCAAAUCUCUGCAUUUUUGCAGGGACCGGCUGGCGAGCUCGUAUGUCUAAAGAGGUCUUCCCCUUCGUCUUUAACUCCAACAUACCCAGAUUCUCAGCAAAUCGCCUUUGUUCAUGGCCCCUGGCUGAAGUCAGGGUCACUCUGCUGGCCUGAAAUGUGAAAGGAGUUCAGAGUACACGUCUACCACUGGCCUGAGGAGACAGCAAACUCACAAUCAAUCAAGGAGCUCCCAGCGUUGUUCCUGUGAGCAUGGCACUAUUUGGAACAGCGCUCAUGUACCUGUGUGUGUGUCAUCCUGGAUAGCCUGAUGGUGACAAGUGCCCAUACGGGAAGAGGGCAAUGACUUCCGUCUGAGAUGAUCCCCAUAUGGUCUCAUGUUGAGUGCUUGGUCUCACCUGGUGGUACUGUUUUGUAGCUGGUGGAUGCGUUGAAAAUGGGCACGGAGGAAGUGGUCACUAGGGAGUGCCUCUGAAUGGGACAGACAGUCCCUGGUUCCAUCCUCACACUCUGCUUCCUGCCCGUUAUGGGAUGAGACACUGUUCCACUACACAUUCCUGCCGCCGUGGUGUUCUGUCUGAGCACACGAGGCCAAGAGAGCAUGGAUGGGAGGGACUGUGAGACUGUGAACCAAAAGAACCCUUCUGGCUGGGGAGGUGCUUCAGUUAGCAAAGCACAUGCUGUGUGAGCUGGAGGAAGGACCUGAGUCCCAUCUGCAGCUCCUAUAUGCAGCAAGCCAGAAAGGCGCCAUGUGUGCUUAACCUCAGCAGCAGGGAGGUGGGGCGGGCGGAUCCGGGUGGCUCUCUGACUAGCUUGGUUUUUGAGAUGGGAUCUCUUAGCAAACCUGGAGCUCACUAUUUCAGCUGGACUGGCCAGUGGACUGAGAUCUGCCUGUGUCAAGAUCCAGCACUGGGAUCACAGCUACGUAUCGCCACAUCCAGC
Molecule: non-coding RNA, 970 nt
Organism: Rattus norvegicus (Norway rat)
Lineage: Eukaryota; Metazoa; Chordata; Mammalia; Rodentia; Muridae
Source: RefSeq, a predicted model, not a curated record